Molecule: transfer RNA, 72 nt
Filed under: Acaryochloris sp. CCMEE 5410
Lineage: Bacteria; Bacillati; Cyanobacteriota; Cyanophyceae; Acaryochloridales; Acaryochloridaceae
Also listed under: 5 other names
Description: tRNA-Gly
Rfam family: tRNA
About the family: Transfer RNA (tRNA) molecules are approximately 80 nucleotides in length. Their secondary structure includes four short double-helical elements and three loops (D, anti-codon, and T loops).
Source: RNAcentral
GCGGAUGUAGUUCAGUGGUAGAACGUCAGCUUCCCAAGCUGAAUGUCGUCGGUUCGAGUCCGAUCAUCCGCU